Pelobates cultripes (western spadefoot toad) is the source of this 643-nucleotide non-coding RNA. The record is from the annotation of a GenBank genome assembly. NCBI's taxonomy places the organism in Eukaryota, Metazoa, Chordata, Amphibia, Anura, Pelobatidae.
UUUUCAUUUGCACGACUGUAGGUGCAGGAUCUGUUCCCCUAAACCACUUGAUUAAGAUGAAGUGAUAUUGGUUUGUUGGCUUACACUGUUUGUUUUUUAAGAUAUCCCUACAUUUGAGUAAGAGUAAAAGUAGAACAAUUUUACCUCCAGCUAUUUUUCUUUUUACCCUCCGCUAUUUCAUCUGAAGUCUUGUCAUCCUUUUUUUAUAUUGCUGUUCCUAUUGACAUGUAUUGUUCUUGCCCACAGAAUUCUGUGUAUAAAAGAGACCUUCCAUGGAAGCUGAGGCUUGAAGUUUCUUUCAAACACUCCUAUUUUCAAACAAUUGUAAGUAGAAAUCCCUUCAUAUGCAUACAUUUUAUUGUGACACAUACAUUUAUCAAAUAUCCCUGGGUAUAUGCAAGCAUGCUUUGACAAACUUCCACACACAAACAUGCUUUGUGAUACAUGUGUGAUACAUGUGUGUGUAUAUAUAUUUGGUGGUGUGCCGGAACCGACGAUGAGGUAGGCCUGAGAAAGAAGAGGGCCUACCCAGGGAAAGAAAAAUAGAAAAUAAAUGUUAAAGUGUGGUGUGGUGGGAGGGUCAUUCAACGCUGACCUCGAACGGUAAGGAGCAAGGUAAGGGGAGUGCCUUAAGUAGGCUAGG